This 105-nucleotide small RNA is filed under the name Pongo abelii (Sumatran orangutan). RNAcentral describes it as "processed transcript". Lineage: Eukaryota; Metazoa; Chordata; Mammalia; Primates; Hominidae. The record is from RNAcentral.
CCUAUUCCCCCAAUAAAAAUAAAAAAAAUUUCUGGGUAUGCUCAAAACUUUAAAAAUGGCAGUUGUGUUCUGGACCUCUCCAAGUGUCUUUUCAUUCAGGGAAAA